This 840-nucleotide ribosomal RNA is filed under the name Bacillus mojavensis. Its description in RNAcentral is "bacterial SSU rRNA". It matches the Rfam family "Bacterial small subunit ribosomal RNA", at positions 34 to 854 of the family's 1533-position model. Lineage: Bacteria; Bacillati; Bacillota; Bacilli; Caryophanales; Bacillaceae. The record is from RNAcentral.
CGGGGGGGGGGGUUCCUAAUACAUGCAAGUCGAGCGGACAGAUGGGAGCUUGCUCCCUGAUGUUAGCGGCGGACGGGUGAGUAACACGUGGGUAACCUGCCUGUAAGACUGGGAUAACUCCGGGAAACCGGGGCUAAUACCGGAUGCUUGUUUGAACCGCAUGGUUCAAACAUAAAAGGUGGCUUCGGCUACCACUUACAGAUGGACCCGCGGCGCAUUAGCUAGUUGGUGAGGUAACGGCUCACCAAGGCAACGAUGCGUAGCCGACCUGAGAGGGUGAUCGGCCACACUGGGACUGAGACACGGCCCAGACUCCUACGGGAGGCAGCAGUAGGGAAUCUUCCGCAAUGGACGAAAGUCUGACGGAGCAACGCCGCGUGAGUGAUGAAGGUUUUCGGAUCGUAAAGCUCUGUUGUUAGGGAAGAACAAGUACCGUUCGAAUAGGGCGGUACCUUGACGGUACCUAACCAGAAAGCCACGGCUAACUACGUGCCAGCAGCCGCGGUAAUACGUAGGUGGCAAGCGUUGUCCGGAAUUAUUGGGCGUAAAGGGCUCGCAGGCGGUUUCUUAAGUCUGAUGUGAAAGCCCCCGGCUCAACCGGGGAGGGUCAUUGGAAACUGGGGAACUUGAGUGCAGAAGAGGAGAGUGGAAUUCCACGUGUAGCGGUGAAAUGCGUAGAGAUGUGGAGGAACACCAGUGGCGAAGGCGACUCUCUGGUCUGUAACUGACGCUGAGGAGCGAAAGCGUGGGGAGCGAACAGGAUUAGAUACCCUGGUAGUCCACGCCGUAAACGAUGAGUGCUAAGUGUUAGGGGGUUUCCGCCCCUUAGUGCUGCAGCUA